GAUGAAGAACGUAGCGAAAUGCGAUAAGUAAUGUGAAUUGCAGAAUUCAGUGAAUCAUCGAAUCUUUGAACGCACAUUGCGCCCCCUGGUAUUCCGGGGGGCAUGCCUGUUCGAGCGUCAUUACAACCCUCAAGCUCUGCUUGGUAUUGGGCCCCGCCAGUUCUGGCGGGCCCUAAAGUCAGUGGCGGUGCCUUCCGGCUCCGAGCGUAGUAAUUCAUCUCGCUCUGGAGACCCGGUUGUGUGCUUGCCAACAACCCCCAAUUUUUUAAGGUUGACCUCGGAUCAGGUAGGGAUACCCGCUGAACUUAAGCAUAUCAAUAAGCGGAGGA
This 329-nucleotide unclassified non-coding RNA is filed under the name soil metagenome. Its description in RNAcentral is "partial contains 5.8S ribosomal RNA, internal transcribed spacer 2, and large subunit ribosomal RNA". The stretch from base 1 to 120 matches the Rfam family "5.8S ribosomal RNA", at positions 35 to 154 of the family's 154-position model. The record is from RNAcentral.